Molecule: ribosomal RNA, 185 nt
Filed under: uncultured bacterium
Lineage: Bacteria
Description: partial 16S ribosomal RNA
Rfam family: Bacterial small subunit ribosomal RNA
Source: RNAcentral
CCUACAUGAAGCUGGAAUUGCUAGUAAUGGCAGGUCAGCAUACUGCCGUGAAUACGUUCCCGGGCCUUGUACACACCGCCCGUCACACCAUGAGAGUUGGGAAUACCCGAAGCCUGUGAGCUAACAGUAAUGAGGCAGCAGUCGAAGGUAGAAUCAAUGAUUGGGUGAAGUCGUAACAAGGUAUC